Molecule: long non-coding RNA, 349 nt
Filed under: Helianthus annuus (common sunflower)
Lineage: Eukaryota; Viridiplantae; Streptophyta; Magnoliopsida; Asterales; Asteraceae
Description: sRNA HanXRQr2_Chr04g0151001
Source: RNAcentral
UUCACAACACCAAACAACUCUCCUCUCUCCCUCUAGAAAGCUCACGGCCAAACAUCCCUAAUCACCCAUCAAUUUUUCGAGCCUUGUUCAAGCCAUUCCAAGCAUACCCAAGCAUCAAGGAUCACGUAUUAGGAGGCUUGGUGCACUCGGAGCACGAAGGACCUUUUUCUCUAGCUUUUAUCCACCACAUUCGCGUCUAGAUUCUUCCCUAGCCUCGAGCUAGUGGUUACGACGUUAAAUAAGCAAACCGGUGAAGUUUACGACGCACAGGAACGCAAAGUUGUAACUAGGAUGGAUGUGCGCGUGGUCUCUCUUAUGCUCGUGGAUGUCGCUUGUUUAUGGUAUUUGA